GACGAACGCUGGCGGCGUGCUUAACACAUGCAAGUCGAACGGAAAGGCCCUGCUUUUGUGGGGUGCUCGAGUGGCGAACGGGUGAGUAACACGUGAGUAACCUGCCCUUGACUUUGGGAUAACUUCAGGAAACUGGGGCUAAUACCGGAUAGGAGCUCCUGCUGCAUGGUGGGGGUUGGAAAGUUUCGGCGGUUGGGGAUGGACUCGCAGGUUAUCAGCUUGUUGGUGGGGUAGUGGCUUACCAAGGCUUUGACGGGUAGCCGGCCUGAGAGGGUGACCGGCCACAUUAGUACUGAGAUACGGCCCAGACUCCUACGGGAGGCAACAGUGGAGAAUAUUGCACAAUGGGCGGAAGCCUGAUGCAACAACGCCGCGUGCGUGAUAACGUCCUUCGGGUUGUAAACCGCUUUCGCCUGUAACGAAGCGUGAGUGACGGUAAUGAAUAAAGAAGCACCGGCUAACUACGUG
RNAcentral lists this ribosomal RNA (468 nucleotides) under uncultured bacterium. RNAcentral's name for it is "partial 16S ribosomal RNA". It matches the Rfam family "Bacterial small subunit ribosomal RNA", at positions 28 to 507 of the family's 1533-position model. The record is from RNAcentral.